Molecule: microRNA precursor, 91 nt
Filed under: Canis lupus familiaris (dog)
Lineage: Eukaryota; Metazoa; Chordata; Mammalia; Carnivora; Canidae
Also listed under: 1 other name
Description: mir-8799 microRNA precursor family
Rfam family: mir-8799 microRNA precursor family
Source: Rfam by way of RNAcentral
AGGGGGAGCACUGGAUCUUGGGCUGUGUCCCAGGCACCCUGUGUUCCCCGGCCUGCGCUGUGGGAUUCGGGUCCUGGAGGCGUUGCCCCCU